GCGGAGCUGCGGGGUGCGUGAGGACUGUAUUCCCGGGGCCUUAUCGAUUCCAACGGGAGCUGUCCCUGUUCUCGACCGUGGUCUUGAGCACACGGCGCCCACCUACGUUGUAGGUUCCCGGGAUCGAUAUCCCACGGCCACUGCGGCCCCGCA
This 153-nucleotide non-coding RNA is filed under the name Lichenibacterium ramalinae. RNAcentral describes it as "6S / SsrS RNA". It matches the Rfam family "6S / SsrS RNA". Rfam says of the family: E. coli 6S RNA was the first non coding RNA to be sequenced, but its function was unknown until recently. It consists of 184 nucleotides that fold into an extended hairpin structure with a large single-stranded internal bulge. Lineage: Bacteria; Pseudomonadati; Pseudomonadota; Alphaproteobacteria; Hyphomicrobiales; Lichenihabitantaceae. The record is from Rfam by way of RNAcentral.